AUUGAACGCUGGCGGCAGGCUUAACACAUGCAAGUCGAGCGGGGGGAGGUAGCUUGCUACCGGACCUAGCGGCGGACGGGUGAGUAAUGCUUAGGAAUCUGCCUAUUAGUGGGGGACAACAUCUCGAAAGGGAUGCUAAUACCGCAUACGUCCUACGGGAGAAAGCAGGGGAUCUUCGGACCUUGCGCUAAUAGAUGAGCCUAAGUCGGAUUAGCUAGUUGGUGGGGUAAAGGCCUACCAAGGCGACGAUCUGUAGCGGGUCUGAGAGGAUGAUCCGCCACACUGGGACUGAGACACGGCCCAGACUCCUACGGGAGGCAGCAGUGGGGAAUAUUGGACAAUGGGGGGAACCCUGAUCCAGCCAUGCCGCGUGUGUGAAGAAGGCCUUAUGGUUGUAAAGCACUUUAAGCGAGGAGGAGGCUACUUUAGUUAAUACCUAGAGAUAGUGGACGUUACUCGCAGAAUAAGCACCGGCUAACUCUGUGCCAGCCGCCGUAACAC
This 501-nucleotide ribosomal RNA is filed under the name uncultured bacterium. RNAcentral describes it as "partial 16S ribosomal RNA". It matches the Rfam family "Bacterial small subunit ribosomal RNA", at positions 30 to 526 of the family's 1533-position model. The record is from RNAcentral.